GGGGUCCUCUCGGGCGCGGCGCGGAGCGGCCCCCCCUCAGCCCGGCACCGCGCCCCUUUCCCCGGGCCGCGCCGCGGAUUACGCGCAAAUCGCCUCGGCCUUAAGCCUGUUUGCGGCCGCUCGGGCUGUCGGGGAGCGCCCGGGGCGUGCGGGCGGCCCUUCACGCCGCCUCCCCGCUGCCCCGGACCGGACGGGCCCGAAGACCUCCGGCCAUCAUCGGGGGCGGCGGGCUCCGAGCUCGGCGCCCUCUGCCCUCUCAGGAGGGGCCUGAGGGGAUGAGAACAUAGGGGGCAGCCCUACUGAGCAGCCCAUUGCCCCCGCUGGAGGAUCUGGGCUCAGCAGCUGGUCCCACGUGUAGGACGAGCACUGCGACGUGAGCUGGGACGUGGUCCCUGGCUGGGAUAUGGGCCCUGCGUUAAAGGCAGACCCGAGAUGGACACCGUGCACAUCCAUUUCUGGGGCCACCACGCCUUAAGGAGCAGCACGUUGCCCUCCACCAAGCCUUUUAUUAACACACACAGUGUUUACUUGGAGGCUUCUCAGUUUACGAGUUACCAGCGUACCCUUGAACACCAGCCAGCGUCUCACAUGGCUCUUCAAGCAGAUCUCGUAUCUCCUACAAACUCAACACUUUCACUGAUUUGUUUUUUUCCCUUGCUGUACCACCUUAGGAUAUGUGGAAGAGCAGAAUUUCAGAGGAGCUAGGAAAUGAAGCUUCAUCAACGUGUGAAGCCACAUUGUCCUUUUCUCCAGUGUUUCUCUGUUACUUGCCUGCCCUUUUGAGUUCGCGGUUGCCAGGUUUGGUCACAGAAAGUAAUCUCUGGGCUGUAACCUCAGAAGGGAGCAAACCAGAUGACUGACAGCAGGUUACUUUUUUGAUGAUGGUGAGAAAUUGUGCACAAUUGUCCGAGGAUGUUUGAUCUCCUUCCCUUUACUCCCAGGGGCAUGCUGCUGUGUUUUCAGAGGCGCAAGGGAACUUAGGUUGAGGAGGUGCUGCUCGCUAAAUUAAACCAUGGCACCUGUCCCCUGGAGGAAGGGGGUGGUGGUUUGGGAGGAGACCCUCCCAGAGGUCUACGGAUGGACCAAAUGGUAUUAAUCUCCUUUUCCAACCUUAACAAUUCUGUAAGUCCAUCAUUCAGAGAGCAGUCUUCACAGCUGGCCUGGGAGCAGGAAGUGAGCCUAUAGCUGGUCUGCCAGACUGCAUCAAAACAUCUCCAACACAGCCUGGGGGCUUGUUUCAUUUCAUCCUGUUUUUUUGACUCCGUUCCAAGUUGUGUUUUUGUGUGUUGUUUUUAUUUUCUUUCCCUUCAAGUUUUUCCACUUAGUCUAGACAUUUGGGUUUGAAUUUCUCAGUAGUCCGCUGUAUAUGCUGCGUUCAAAGAUGUCUCAUAUCCUUCUGUCUCUUCUGUUCCCUGCCCUUAAUGACUCAGUGAGAACUGGAUCAACAAAGUGAACGCUUCAUUAUUGACAUUUUUUUUACAUGAAACGCGUUGAAAAUAGUAACACAUGCCUGCCUUCUCUAAGCAAAAUAUUUUGGCUGUGUUGGACACGCUGAAACAUACAGAUUUUGAAAUCAAUACAAAUGUUUUGUUUAGACACUCACAAGAAAACCCCCAUCUCUUGAAGUAUUUCCAUUCUUUGUGGGAAAAAAAAAAAAAAAAUCCUUUCCAUUGAAGAACUUGCCAUUUUCUUUCCCUAAAUUGAGGCAGAAAGACCUUAAAACAAUGAUUUUGUUCAUGUUUUUUUUUUCUGCAUAUUUUCGCCAGCAUUGCCUUUAGCGUGUACCAUAUAAAGAAUAUAUGCUAAUGUUCAUCAACUGAUGCUAGCAUCAGAUUUCCUUCUUUUCUUGGCACAUAAUACACACGCCUACUUUGAGUAAAUUCUUCAAGGAAAUGUUGCUCAUUCUCCUCAUAGUAGAUAUGCCAGUUGGAUUCUUUUCUGUUAAGUAAUUUUGGAUACCAUCCAAAGGUAAGGUUUGAUCAACGUGGCAACUGGGUAGUUCCUGCCAGACAGAUAGGUGGUAACAACCCACAGGAAAUGUAUUACAAGCAGAGAAAAACGCACUCAGUUUUCAACCCUUCGGAUAGAGCCAAAGAAACGCCAUGGGUUAAGAAACACAUUUAAAACUAAAGGUAUGUUUUAUUAUUGGCAAAAUCCUGAUACCUGUCUUGAAGCCCACUCCUUUCUCUUUGUGAGGGUGUUCAGACAAAAUGUUGUAGAAGUUCUGGAUUUCUCCCACUUCACAGUGUCUGUUGCUUGGGAAUAUUUCGUGCAAGGAACCUGAGAAAAUGCCUUCGCCCACACUUUCUUCACAGACUUUCUCCACCCUGUGCUUUUUCUUGUCAUUAUUAUUCCUCUUGUUACAGUAAUUGCUGCUUCUGUGUGUAUCUGUACGAGACAGGACGCUUUUAAACAGUUCCCCAGUGUUUUCAGUGUCACAAGGUAGAAGUUAUUUAUGCAGCUGACAGGAAUGUGUCUAUUGCCUUAGGGAAGGGCUGCAGGAAGCAAGAAAUCGCAGUCAGAAGAGAGCCCUGUCCUCAGAAAAGCAUUUUAGUGACGGACCAGCAGAGGUAUGGAGGGACAAUCCACCUGCCACUUCAUUGCAUUUCUCUCAUCUUAUUUCCCCUUCUAAGUAUUUUUUCUCAGAUAUUAGCAUCUCCUACUUGCUUUGUUUUUCUAUUGUCUUUAUUCAGAGAUAUCUAGCAGGAGGUUGAUGUGUUUCUCAUUCAGUACUGUCAGGUGCAUUGGGAAGAGUGUUAACAGCAGGUUACGUGUUUAUGGCCUCAAGUUGUGCCGGGAGAGAUUCAGGUUGGAUAUUAGGAAAAAUUUCUUCUCCAAAGGUGUGGUCAGAUGCUGAAAUGGGCUGCCCAGAGGGGUGGUGGAGUCACCUUCCCUGGAGGUGUUCAAAAAGGAUUUAGAUGUUGUACUGAGGGACUUGAUUUAGUGGGGAAAUAUUGGUCGUAGGUGGACAGUUAGACUGGAUGAUCUUGGAGGUCUUUUCCAUCCUUGGUGAUUCGAUGAUUCUGUGAUUCAAGAGAGACAAUCCUUCCCCUCUAGUCAGCACUGUUAAGGAUGCACUUGGAGUUCUGGGUCCAUCCAGUUAUGGGCCCCUCAGUACGAGAAAUACCUGGACAUACUGAAGUGUCCAAGAAAGGGAAACCAAAAUGGCAAAUGCUAGAAGCACUUCUGCUAUGAGGAGGGGCUGAGAGAGCCACGGCUGCUCGGCUGGAGAAGAGGACACUCAGGUGGACCUCAUCAAUGCCCAUAAAUACCUGAAGGGAAGGUGCCAAGAGGCUGCAGCCAGGCUCUGUCAGUGGUGCCUGGUGCCAGGACCAGAGGCCAUGGGCACAAACUGAAGCACAGGAGGUUCCCUCUGAACACCAGGAGCCCUUCUGUGCUGUGCAGUGACGGAGCACUGGCACAGGCUGCCCAGAAGCUGUGGGGUCUUCUCCUUGGGGAUCUCCCAGAGCCGCCUGGACGUGGCCCUGGGCACCCUGCUCUGGGUGUCCCUGCUCGGGCAGGGGCUGGAGCAGAGGGACCCAGAGGUCCUGACAGCCUCAGCCGUGUUGUGGUUCUGUGACUCUGUAAUCCCACCCUUUUGACUCCCUGAAAAUCAGCAGAUAAAAACAUUAAAGCGUGGACAGCUGCAGAUGGUGAUUUCUUCAACUGCCACUGACGUGCACUAAUUACUCUACUUGUGCCCCUGUUUGUGGACAUGGAUAGCUUAACCGAAGUGAGGAGAAUCACUCGUGUCCGUAUUAAUACAUCCACUUGAAGAUACUGUUGAACCUGAUUCAAGGUUUUCCACAAAUGAUUUCAUAAAAAUACCACUGGAAAGAGUAACGAGAAGUCAUUCGCUCCAGCCUUGUAGCCAAGGCAGCUCCGAUUGCAUCUGUACCAUCCUGAAGUGGUACUGCCUGUUCAAACCCUCACGGCUGAGAGUUUCUGUCCCUCUAGAGAAUGUAAUCAGUGAACAGCUUAAAUCUGCAGGGCUGAAAUUUUCAUCUCAUUCCUGUGAAUACAGAAAAGGGUCCAUUCCCUGCCUCUUUACUAAUAAUUUUGUGAGCAUUUUGAGGCUACUGUGACACAUUUCUACCCUGGAGUAAACCACCCCCAUUCCCAUCUUGUCACUGACCUCCCAAUGUACACUUCCAAAGCUGACACCUGUGUCUCGCUUGACUUGAGAGUCUCAUGGGAUCAUUAUCCAGCUCAGCCCUCCCCUUUAAUCACUUAAGCCUGGGUGGGCCCGCAGGUGUAAUGACCACGAAUCAGUAUCAAAAGCAAAUUGAUGUACGUGGUGAGUAGCCUAUCUACUGGUCUCUUCCAUCAUCAUAGAAAGAAGUUGGGUUAGUUUGACUUUAUUUGUCCUUCAAGAAGUUUGUUGUUCCUCUCCAUGUUAUAAGUACUCACAAACGUUUUCUUUUCAUGCUGAAGUUUAUUUAAUGGAUCAGUAAUUCCUCAGUUCUUUCUUUUGCUCCUUCUUUUUUUUAAGUUUCACUUCACAAUACAAGAACAACCUGAAAGGAGGUUGUAGCAAGGUGGGAGGCGGCCUCUUCUCCCAGGUAACAGCAAUAGGACGAGAGGUAAUGUUUUUGGGUUGCACCAGUGGAAGUUCAGGUUGGGUAUUAGGAAGAAUUUCUUCUCAGAAAUAGUGAUGAGGCAUUGAAACAGGCUGCACAGGGAUGUGGUGCAGUCACUGUCCAUGGAGGUGUUCAAGAACUGUGUGGAUGUG
Molecule: long non-coding RNA, 4732 nt
Organism: Gallus gallus (chicken)
Lineage: Eukaryota; Metazoa; Chordata; Aves; Galliformes; Phasianidae
Exons: 3
Source: RefSeq, a predicted model, not a curated record